This 466-nucleotide ribosomal RNA is filed under the name uncultured bacterium. RNAcentral's name for it is "partial 16S ribosomal RNA". It matches the Rfam family "Bacterial small subunit ribosomal RNA", at positions 28 to 507 of the family's 1533-position model. The record is from RNAcentral.
GAUGAACGCUGGCGGCGUGCUUAACACAUGCAAGUCGAACGAUGAAGCCCAGCUUGCUGGGUGGAUUAGUGGCGAACGGGUGAGUAACACGUGAGUAACCUGCCCUUAACUCUGGGAUAAGCCUGGGAAACUGGGUCUAAUACCGGAUAGGAGCGCCUACCGCAUGGUGGGUGUUGGAAAGAUUUAUCGGUUUUGGAUGGACUCGCGGCCUAUCAGCUUGUUGGUGAGGUAAUGGCUCACCAAGGCGACGACGGGUAGCCGGCCUGAGAGGGUGACCGGCCACACUGGGACUGAGACACGGCGCAGACUCCUACGGGAGGCAGCAGUGGGGAAUAUUGCACAAUGGGCGAAAGCCUGAUGCAGCGACGCCGCGUGAGGGAUGACGGCCUUCGGGUUGUAAACCUCUUUCAGUAGGGAAGAAGCGAAAGUGACGGUACCUGCAGAAGAAGCACCGGCUAACUACGUG